GUCGAGGGGUAUAGUAGCAAUACUAGAGACCGGCGCACGGGUGCGUAACGCGUAUGCAAUCUACCUUAUACAGAGGGAUAGCCCAGAGAAAUUUGGAUUAAUACCUCAUAGCAUAGCAACUUCGCAUGAAGUCACUAUUAAAGUUCCAACGGUGUAAGAUGAGCAUGCGUCCUAUUAGCUAGAUGGUAAGGUAACGGCUUACCAUGGCUACGAUAGGUAGGGGUCCUGAGAGGGAGAUCCCCCACACUGGUACUGAGACACGGACCAGACUCCUACGGGAGGCAGCAGUGAGGAAUAUUGGACAAUGGGCGCAAGCCUGAUCCAGCCAUGCCGCGUGCAGGAAGACGCAUCUAUGGUGUGUAAACUGCUUUUGUACGGGAAGAAACACUCCCUCGUGAGGGAGCUUGACGGUACCGUAAGAAUAAGGAUCGGCUAACUCCGUGCCAGCAGCCGCGGUAAUACGGAGGAUCCAAGCGUUAUCCGGAAUCAUUGGGUUUAAAGGGUCCGUAGGCGGUUUGGUAAGUCAGUGGUGAAAGCCCAUCGCUUAACGAUGGAACGGCCAUUGAUACUGCCAGACUUGAAUUACUGGGAAGUAACUAGAAUAUGUAGUGUAGCGGUGAAAUGCUUAGAU
This 631-nucleotide ribosomal RNA is filed under the name uncultured Flavobacterium sp. RNAcentral describes it as "bacterial SSU rRNA". It matches the Rfam family "Bacterial small subunit ribosomal RNA", at positions 61 to 695 of the family's 1533-position model. The record is from RNAcentral. Lineage: Bacteria; Pseudomonadati; Bacteroidota; Flavobacteriia; Flavobacteriales; Flavobacteriaceae.